Molecule: unclassified non-coding RNA, 1900 nt
Filed under: Hevea brasiliensis (rubber tree)
Lineage: Eukaryota; Viridiplantae; Streptophyta; Magnoliopsida; Malpighiales; Euphorbiaceae
Source: RNAcentral
ACCACCCCCACCACCACCACCACCACCAAUUCUUCCCACUCAGCAACUAGCACCGCACACUCGUCAUCACAUUCAAGCGGUGCUGCUGACCAUUCUGAAGGUGGGUAUGGUGAAUACUUGAAGAUGGCUCAAGGUUUCUUGAAGAAACACUGACAUAUAAUAGCGAUUAGGCAAAUCUUUCUUGUUGUGUUUCCUAUUUUCUCCCGCUUUUAUGUCUGUUGUACAACUCUUAGAUCUGAAGCUAUAAGCUUCCUGUCUUUGUAUGUUCUGUUUAAUACUUUACUAUGCUAAAGUUCCAGUGUUUUCUUGAAAUUUUUAUUUAGUGUUCUACUUCUUUAGUCAUGCAUAGCCAAAUUCUACAAGUUUUGGAAGAAUUUGCAAAUGAAUUCUAAAUUCCUGUCGAAAUUCCCAUGAUUGGUUGGGAUUCUUGCUCUUGUUCUUUUUAAUCUCCUUCAACAGUUAAAUUGUAGAUGGAAUACAGAGUUUUUAUUAGCUGCCCAGUUUCUCAAUUUGAAAAGUCAGUGCUAUAAAAGAAAAUCUGUGCAUUGCUUGUGAUGAAUGCAACUUAGCAUACAGAGUUGUGCAAGAAAUGCUUAUUUACAUUUAAUAACUGAGAAAGAUUACUGUUUUUUCCCUCAUGACAGAUAAAGCUAUACAAUAGUUAGAUUCAGAAGCAGAAACAUGUCCUUGGAACUCUUCCUGUUACCCCAAUUUUAUUUGCCUUCUCUUUGACCUUCAACUCUUCAUUUCUUUUACUCUCCAUCGCCUUUGAUCUUGCUCCUCCAGCAAUCUCAUUGAUAUCAUCCCCCUCGCUGCGAAAUUGUUGUAAGGCUUUUAACCUUUUCUUCUCCAGUUCACUCUCUAUUCUGUCCAGUCGUCGUCUGGAUUUGGCCUUCUUUUUGUGCUCCCAGGAAAGUAUUCUGGCUUCCAAUUCCUCAUACUUCUUGUUUAUCUUAGCCAGCUCAGCUUUCUCCCAAGCAUCUGCUUCUCUUCCUCUUAUUCCGGGUCUUGUUGGAGUCUGCUUGUCAAAUUUAGCCGGUGAAACUGGAGGUUUAGUUGUGGCAGGCAUAUCAGUUUUUGGCUUUAGGCUUUCAGGCUGUAUUUCAUCGGUUCUUCUCAACUGCUCUUCGGCAAAAGUCGGAAUUUUUUUCAUCGGUACAGCAGGCUUUUCAGUAAAAGUUGGAGUCCUCUUCAUUGAUGGAGUAGGACCAACAACCUUCGCUGGUGUUUUUUCAUCUGGGAUUUCUGAAAUUCUCAUUGAAUCUUGACCUUCUUUUUUAGUCUUACUUCGGGUAAAAGAAGGUUGAGUGGCCUUGCUGAUCUGUUUCUGUUCUGGAAUGCUGAACUCUUCCAAUGAUGAAAUGGCACAUGCAGCAGCUGCUACUGCAGUUGCUCGAUCUAUUCCAUCCAAGUCAUAAUCUUGAUUCAUCUGCCAAGAAAUUUGUCUCCGGAACCAGUUCUGAGGUCUCUUCUUUUCUGCAAAAUGCAUCAGUUUUAUGGUGGUAGUAGGCUAGUAACUAGAAGUAGAGAUGAAGAAUUCUCUAGAGUUACCUUCCUUGAAGGAUAGGGUUUUCUGGGAAGGAAUUCUUCUUUCUUUGCUGCUGCCAGGACCUGCUACGCCUUGUUGUCCAGCAAAUCUCACCCUAAAAGAAGUGGUCAUUCACCUAUAAGAACACAAUAAAAAGGUACCAAGGAAAAACUGGCAGCUGCAUUCACCUGUUAGUUUGCCUGAUCAAAUACUCCAUUGGUUGAGCAAAUAACAAUUCUGAAAUGCUAACUUCCUGAACAAUUAUCCUGGACCCAUUUGUGGCCUGUCUUUAUUUUAAGGAAAAGAAGCCUAGGGAAGGAGAGGUUUGUUAUGGUUGGAUAGGCUGCGGCCAGGGAUAGGGUACAAGCAAAG